This 254-nucleotide ribosomal RNA is filed under the name uncultured bacterium. RNAcentral describes it as "partial 16S ribosomal RNA". It matches the Rfam family "Bacterial small subunit ribosomal RNA", at positions 524 to 776 of the family's 1533-position model. The record is from RNAcentral.
UACGUAGGGUGCAAGCGUUAAUCGGAAUUACUGGGCGUAAAGCGUGCGCAGGCGGUGAUGUAAGACAGGUGUGAAAUCCCCGGGCUUAACCUGGGAACUGCAUUUGUGACUGCAUCGCUGGAGUGCGGCAGAGGGGGAUGGAAUUCCGCGUGUAGCAGUGAAAUACGUAGAUAUGCGGAGGAACACCGAUGGCGAAGGCAAUCCCCUGGGCCUGCACUGACGCUCAUGCACGAAAGGCGUGGGGAGCAAACAGG